This is a non-coding RNA of Cladophialophora bantiana CBS 173.52, 104 nucleotides long. The record is from the annotation of a RefSeq genome assembly. Lineage: Eukaryota; Fungi; Ascomycota; Eurotiomycetes; Chaetothyriales; Herpotrichiellaceae.
ACCGGAUUGGUGUAGUGGUUAACAUUACUGUCUCUCAUACUUGCGGUCUGAUGGCUUCAAUGUGGGAAACACAGUCGCCCCUGGUUCGAUUCCGGGAUCCGGUG